RNAcentral lists this ribosomal RNA (567 nucleotides) under uncultured bacterium. RNAcentral's name for it is "bacterial SSU rRNA". It matches the Rfam family "Bacterial small subunit ribosomal RNA", at positions 359 to 917 of the family's 1533-position model. The record is from RNAcentral.
GNNNUUGCGCAUGGGGGAAACCCUGNCGCAGCAACGCCGCGUGGGUGAUGAAGGCCUUCGGGUCGUAAAGCCCUGUCAGGUGGGAAGAAACUCGUGGAUGCUAAUAUCAUCUACGCUUGACGGUACCACCGGAGGAAGCACCGGCUAACUCCGUGCCAGCAGCCGCGGUAAUACNGGAGGGUGCAAGCGUUGUUCGGAAUUAUUGGGCGUAAAGCGCGUGUAGGUGGUCGGGUAAGUCAGAUGUGAAAGCCUCCUGCUUAACAGGAGAAGUGCAUUUGAAACUGCUCGGCUAGAGUACGGGAGAGGAGAGUGGAAUUCCCGGUGUAGAGGUGAAAUUCGUAGAUAUCGGGAGGAACACCAGUGGCGAAGGCGGCUCUCUGGUCCGAUACUGACGCUGAGACGCGAAAGCGUGGGGAGCAAACAGGAUUAGAUACCCUGGUAGUCCACGCCGUAAACGAUGGGCACUAGGUGUAGGAGGUAUUGACCCCUUCUGUGCCGAAGCUAACGCAUUAAGUGCCCCGCCUGGGGAGUACGGCUGCAAGGCUAAAACUCAAAAAAAUUGACGGA